RNAcentral lists this small RNA (1445 nucleotides) under Arabidopsis thaliana (thale cress). Its description in RNAcentral is "ATSL085690". Lineage: Eukaryota; Viridiplantae; Streptophyta; Magnoliopsida; Brassicales; Brassicaceae. The record is from RNAcentral.
AUUUUUCCAAUAAACAAAGAAUCAGCAUCACUUAGACCAGUUGAAAACGCGGAACUAGAAUACCGUUGAUCAAGAAUACUAGAUGUUUCAGAUACACACGCCUCAAUAAUCCUAGAGGUUAACCUCGGCUGCCAAAAUAAAAAGCUUACCUCAAACAUCAAUCUAUCUUAAAUAAUGAUUUUACAAGGAUUUUUAAAAGGGGUUUAAAAACGUUAAUAAUGAUUUUACAAGAUUUUUUAAAAGGAUUAUUACCUGAGUAGUAGAUGCAGAAUGAGAAGCAAAAGGAUUUGAAGUCGUCUCAGCCUGUAGUAAACUCAAUCACUGACUUAAUAAUGAUUUUACAAGGAUUUUUAAAAGGGGUUUAAAAACGUUAAUAAUGAUUUUACAAGGAUUUUUAAAAGGGGUUUAAAAACGUUAAUAAUGAUUUUACAAGGAUUUUUAAAACGAUUAGUACCUGAGCAUUAGGGACAGAAUGAGAAACAAAAGGAUUUGAAGUAGUCUCAGCCUGUAAUAAGCACAAUCACUGACUUAAUAAUGAUUUUAAAAGGAUUUUUAAAAUUAUAACACAAGAAGGUUAUUGAAAAACCUGCUCAACUAUCACAGAAAUUUGCUCUACAGUCAAACAUAAUUGAAGCAAUCCUCCACUCUGUGAGAAUUUGUGCAUAAAAGUUGCAAGCUGUCUAUCGUUCCUAAUAUAAAGAGGAUGAGAUUGUAUGGUUGUAGACGUGGAGACUAACUUGUAACUAAGCUUCAAAGAAUUGGUUGAACUAUCUAUUUGAAAAUCCUCUACAAGAAUAUCAACCAACGCGUGAUAGGUAAUGUGCUCAUCAAUGAGCACUAAAGAAGCUCCCAAUUCAAUGUCUAAUUCAAAUUCCCAAGUCAUAUUGUUUGUCAACUUCCACAAGCCACAAACAGAAUACAAUUCUAGCAUUAUAACCUGAUAAGAUAAAUAACAACAAAAUCAACACCCACAAAAACAUUUUCACUACAGAGAGAAGCAAGGUUUACAAAUCGUUUUAUAGAGUAAGUAAGUAGCAUAGAAUAAUUUACAAGGGAUUUUAAAAGCUUUGAAAAGUGGUUAACAUGGUUUACAAAUCGUUUUAAAGAGUAAGUAAGUAGCAUAGAAUAAUUUACAAGGGAUUUUAAAAGCUUUGAAAAGUGGUUAACAUGGUUUACAAAUCGUUUUAAAGCGUAAGUAAGUAGCAUAGAAUAAUUUACAAGGGAUUUUAAAAGCUUUGAAAAGUGGUUAACAUGGUUUACAAAUCGUUUUAAAGCGUAAGUAAGUAGCAUAGAAUAAUUUACAAAGGAUUUUAAAAGCUUUGAAAAGUGGUUAACAUGGUUUACAAAUCGUUUUAAAGCGUAAGUGGCAUAGAUCUAUCACGAAAGCAUAUGCAAAAGAGGUAAACACUAAAUCAGAACCAAAAUCUAUUACGAAAUAGUAUAAG